This 235-nucleotide long non-coding RNA is filed under the name Saimiri boliviensis boliviensis (Bolivian squirrel monkey). RNAcentral describes it as "lncRNA (ENSSBOG00000036534.1)". The record is from RNAcentral. Lineage: Eukaryota; Metazoa; Chordata; Mammalia; Primates; Cebidae.
GAAGAUGGCUGCUCCCAAGACCUCUCUGGAGAGCUGAAUUUGCAGAUGGAAUCUAUUAGUUGCAUUUCUAAGCUUGAAAGAUCAUCUUCCUUUUACCUUGAAGGAGCAGAAGGCAACAUAAAGCAGCUACAAGAAUUAAUUCACGGAGAUAGUUGACAUUUUCGAGCUGACUACCUCUUAGAGAAAAUGAUGUCAUUCUCCAGCAGCCUAAUGACAGUCAUCAGCCUGAGAGGAC